Molecule: long non-coding RNA, 470 nt
Organism: Daphnia magna
Lineage: Eukaryota; Metazoa; Arthropoda; Branchiopoda; Diplostraca; Daphniidae
Exons: 2
Source: RefSeq, a predicted model, not a curated record
AUACCCUCCGGGACUUGUGGUCUGUCCAUGCUUAUUCGUAGCUUAAUCCCAGUGUCCAUCCCAAGUUUAUGGGGAGACACGCAGUUCCAGAAAGUCAAAAGUCUUUAAGUAGUAGGUCGUGAGAGGAACAGAAAUCACAUCACAUUCAGAUAUUUCAGAAGCAUGUGAAUACGCCCCACGUUUCAUCAGCCAUUAAAAUUCUUUUUCAAUUGUUGAGGAUUUGUGAACGACUACAGGCCAUGAGUUCGACUUUAGCUCUUUUAAGCUUUCCAACAUAGUUGAAAGCGUUCAAUUUUCCUCGUUGUUGACAAGACUGGAUUAUGCGCGAACCGAAAGUCGAUUGAUAAAGAGCUACUUCCCUUGCCGUUUUGAAUCAACAUUUCCACCAUGAAUAGAUAGAUUGUUAAUAACCAAAAUUUGAAACCGGCUGUUCCAAUCGAUCCGCUUUGCCAUACAUGUCACUAAUUGAA